GACGAACGCUGGCGGCGUGCUUAACACAUGCAAGUCGAGCGGUAAGGCCUUUCGGGGUACACGAGCGGCGAACGGGUGAGUAACACGUGGGUGAUCUGCCCUGCACUCUGGGAUAAGCCUGGGAAACUGGGUCUAAUACUGGAUAUGACCUCAGCAUACAUGUGCUGGGGUGGAAAGCUUUUGUGGUGCAGGAUGGGCCCGCGGCCUAUCAGCUUGUUGGUGGGGUAAUGGCCUACCAAGGCGACGACGGGUAGCCGACCUGAGAGGGUGACCGGCCACACUGGGACUGAGACACGGCCCAGACUCCUACGGGAGGCAGCAGUGGGGAAUAUUGCACAAUGGGCGGAAGCCUGAUGCAGCGACGCCGCGUGAGGGAUGAAGGCCUUCGGGUUGUAAACCUCUUUCAGCAGGGACGAAGCGUGAGUGACGGUACCUGCAGAAGAAGCACCGGCUAACCACGUGCCAGCCGCCGCGGUAA
Molecule: ribosomal RNA, 478 nt
Filed under: uncultured bacterium
Lineage: Bacteria
Description: partial 16S ribosomal RNA
Rfam family: Bacterial small subunit ribosomal RNA
Source: RNAcentral